CUUGAUGAGAGGGGUGUGUCUGAUUGGCAGAUUGAAGCAGGCAGGUGCAGAGUGGUGAGGGAGAGAUGAACUGUGACAGAAGUGGUUGAAAUCUUCCCCUACUAAGUGGGAUUAAACUAAGUUAUUACAAUCAUCAUCAUUAUUCUUUAAAUCCUUAUUAAAGGAGAAAAUACUACAUUUGUGGGUCUCUCUCCCAGCUUGCCAGUGAUUUGCAAAGCAUUUUGAUGUAUUUCCUUACCCCUUGGUUUGAAGUGCGGGUCAGCAAAAUAGGGCUAUAAAGCCUUAACACUUGGCCCUACCCCUUCAUGCCAACAGGCAUUGGGACAGAAAUGGGAUUGGGCCUUUGACAACACCAUGAGGCUACAUUUCUUUGGCAGGCUGAUCAUUGCUCAGCAGCUCGAUGAAGGCUACAGGACUGGCAUACUGUGUGUUGUGAUGUUGAAUCACCAGCCGCCACUGCUCGAACACCAUGUCGCCUCUGAAGAAGCAGUGAGUUUUAUUGUGAAAGACCAAAGAGCUAGAGGAGGAGGAGGAGGAGGAGGAAGAGUGUCGGGAGCGCGCUCGGCUGUACGCUCCGUCCCGUGCUGCUCUCCGGUUGGCUGCUGUGGCAGCGGGAGCGCGGGCAGCAGAGAUCUCGGAGUGACAGUCAGAGCUUCCACGUCAACACAGCGAGCAGCGGCGGCGGCGAUGGAGUCCUCGUCUCUGGAACCUUCCCUCUACACAGUGAAAGCUGUUUUCAUUCUUGACAAUGAUGGCAACAGACUUCUGUCAAAGUAUUAUGACCCUGAGCUCUACCCCUCCAUGAAGGAGCAGAAGAACUUUGAGAGGAACAUUUUCAACAAGACACACAAAGCAGACAAUGAGAUAGCAUUCCUGGAGGGGAUGACCAUUGUCUAUAAAGGCAGUAUAGACCUCUUCUUCUAUGUGGUGGGAAGUGCUCAGGAGAAUGAGCUGAUGCUGAUGUCAGUGCUGAACUGCCUGUUUGAGUCCCUCAGUCACAUCCUCAGGAAAAAUGUGGAGCGGAGAUGCUUACUGGAUAACAUGGAGGGAGUGUUCCUAAUUGUGGAUGAAAUUAUCGAUGGAGGGGUGAUUCUGGAGAGUGACCCCCAGCAGGUCCUACAGAAGGUCAACUACAGGCUAAUGUCAGAGCCAGCCUAUGGCUUCGUCCUGUUUGAUUACAUCACUGGUAACCUAGAGGGACAGACAGACAAGAGCCAGCUGCUGUAGACAGACAGACAGAGGGCGGAUGAGAACCCAUUAUCUGAACAAAGCGUUGCUCAGCACAUAACAGAGAAACUGGCCCUGACCUCUAACGUACUGCAGUCAGCCAAGGAGCAGAUCAAAUGGUCCAUACUGAAAUGACGUGGACCAGACAAAUUUAGGAUUCACAUGAAUUGUCCUUGAGAAUAUUUCUUGUCCCAAAGCUAUUUUUAUAGUAACAGAGUAAAGGGAAGCUCAUCACGAGCCUGUUGGGUUGUAGGCUGCUUUAUAUAAAGAUGAACCAGUGCACUGGCAUUUUGUUACAUUGGGUGGGUGAUUAAUGUUGUAGGUUUGAGGAUGAUCAUUGUCUUAACACACGUGGAGAUGUUAUUUACAUUUAUACACACUAAAUGAAUCCAGGCUCUUCACUCUAAAGUGUCUCAGAAAUCAAAAGAAGAGUCCAUCGGGGCUUCUGGUUAAAACCGGGCAGCUGUCAAACACUAAACUAAUCGACCAUACUGGAAGCUUUGUUUGUGCUUUUAUUUUGGCGGAGCAGGAUCUUCCAGUCUUAUUCAACCACAUGUUUGCAUGUUGGUGAUGUGCAAACAUUUUCAGAUUACACACCUUUCCCCCAAAAUGUUACAUAUCCAAAAGAUCAUGGAGCCCUUUUGUUGCCCGCAUCUACAUCAACGACACAAGGCUGCGUCCUGUGAAUUGUUACUGUUUGUGAGUCCGUAUUUGAUUUAAAGAUUAAAAUGAACGAGGACAAACUGGGAAAUAAGAAGCAACACACCACGAUGUUAAAUUAGCACCGCGACAUGAUUUGUGCACUUAACUGCUCAGUUUAAUAAAGAUGCCGUUAAUCUGACUUUGUCAAGGCUCCUUAAACAACAAUAAUGUUUUGUAAAGUUUAUUUAAAAAACUGUAAAUGAAUGUAAUGAUAAUUAAUCACACUUAACAAAUAACGUUCUGUGUUGAAGGCAGUAUGUUACUGUUGCACUGUCAGAGCCUUUAUUAAAACUCUUCUUUGAACA
RNA transcript from Paralichthys olivaceus (Japanese flounder), 2234 nucleotides. It is a transcript of the gene named coatomer subunit zeta-1-like, with no coding region annotated. NCBI's taxonomy places the organism in Eukaryota, Metazoa, Chordata, Actinopteri, Pleuronectiformes, Paralichthyidae. The record is from RefSeq and is a predicted model, not a curated record.